RNAcentral lists this small RNA (127 nucleotides) under Marmota monax (woodchuck). Lineage: Eukaryota; Metazoa; Chordata; Mammalia; Rodentia; Sciuridae. The record is from RNAcentral.
GCCAGGUGCGGUGGUGCACACCUAUAAUCCCAGCAGCUCAGGAGGCUGAGGUAGGAGGAUCGUGAGUUCAAAGCCAGCUUCAGCAAUUUAGCAAGGCCCUAAGUAACUUAUCGAGCCCCUGCCUCUG